This 1758-nucleotide ribosomal RNA is filed under the name Drosophila miranda. RNAcentral's name for it is "SSU rRNA". The stretch from base 2 to 1170 matches the Rfam family "Eukaryotic small subunit ribosomal RNA", at positions 4 to 1116 of the family's 1831-position model. The record is from RNAcentral. Lineage: Eukaryota; Metazoa; Arthropoda; Insecta; Diptera; Drosophilidae.
UCUGGUUGAUCCUGCCAGUAGUUACAUGCUUGUCUCAAAGAUUAAGCCAUGCAUGUCUAAGUACACACGAAUUAAAAGUGAAACCGCAAAAGGCUCAUUAUAUCAGUUAUGGUUCCUUAGAUCGUUAAGUUACUUGGAUAACUGUGGUAAUUCUAGAGCUAAUACAUGCAAUUAAAAAACGGACCUUAUGGGACGUGUGCUUUUAUUAGGCUAAAACCAAGCGAUCGCAAGAUCGUUACAUUGGUGAACUCUAGAUAACAUGCAGAUCGUAUGGUCUUGUACCGACGACAGAUCUUUCAAAUGUCUGCCCUAUCAACUUUUGAUGGUAGUGUCUAGGACUACCAUGGUUGCAACGGGUAACGGGGAAUCAGGGUUCGAUUCCGGAGAGGGAGCCUGAGAAACGGCUACCACAUCUAAGGAAGGCAGCAGGCGCGUAAAUUACCCACUCCCAGCUCGUGGAGGUAGUGACGAAAAAUAACAAUACAGGACUCAUAUCAGAGGCCCUGUAAUUGGAAUGAGUACACUUUAAAUCCUUUAACAAGGACCAAUUGAAGGGCAAGUCUGGUGCCAGCAGCCGCGGUAAUUCCAGCUCCAAUAGCGUAUAUUAAAACUGUUGCGGUUAAAACGUUCGUAGUUGAACUUGUGCUUCAUACGGGUGGUAUACCUUACAAUUGUAGUUGGUACUAUACCUUUAUGUAUGUAAGCGUAUUACCGGUGGAGUUCUUAUGUAUAAUUAAGUACUUGUAUUUUUUUAUAUAUUCCUCCUUUUUAAAAACCUGCAUUAGUGCUCUUCAUCGAGUGUUAUUGUGGGCCGGUACAAUUACUUUGAACAAAUUAGAGUGCUUAAAGCAGGCUUCAAAUGCCUGAAUAUUCUGUGCAUGGGAUAAUGAAAUAAAACCUCUGUUCUGCUUUCAUUGGUUUUCAGAUCAAGAGGUAAUGAUUAAUAGAAGCAUUUUGGGGGCAUUAGUAUUACGACGCGAGAGGUGAAAUUCUCGGACCGUCGUAAGACUAACUUAAGCGAAAGCAUUUGCCAAAGAUGUUUUCAUUAAUCAAUAUAAUAAUAUAGUGUAAUUAUCAUAUACGUAUAUACAACCUCAACUCAUAUGGGACUACCCCCUGAAUUUAAGCAUAUUAAUUAGGGGAGGAAAAGAAACUAACCAGGAUUUUCUUAGUAGCGGCGAGCGAAAAGAAAUCAGUUCAGCUCUAAGUCACUUUGUCUAUAUGGCAAACGUGAGAUGCAGUGUAUGGAGCGUCAAUAUUCUAGUAUGAGAAAUUAACGAUUUAAGUCCUUCUUAAAUGAGGCCAUUUACCCAUAGAGGGUGCCAGGCCCGUAUAACGUUAAUGAUUACUAGAUGAUGUUUCCAAAGAGUCGUGUUGCUUGAUAGUGCAGCACUAAGUGGGUGGUAAACUCCAUCUAAAACUAAAUAUAACCAUGAGACCGAUAGUAAACAAGUACCGUGAGGGAAAGUUGAAAAGAACUCUGAAUAGAGAGUUAAACAGUACGUGAAACUGCUUAGAGGUUAAGCCCGAUGAACCUGAAUAUCCGUUAUGGAAAAUUCAUCAUUAAAGUUGUAAUAUUUUAAAAAUAUUAUAAUAAUAGUGUGCAUUUUUUCCAUAUAAGGACAUUGUAAUCUAUUAGCAUAUAACAAAUUUAUCAUAAAAUAUGACUUAUAGUUUAUUCAAAUUAUUAUGCUUGCAUUUUAACAUAGAAUAAAUGUCAUUAAUUUGAUAGUGUUGAUAAAUUCAAUUUAAUACAGU